This 252-nucleotide ribosomal RNA is filed under the name uncultured bacterium. RNAcentral's name for it is "partial 16S ribosomal RNA". It matches the Rfam family "Bacterial small subunit ribosomal RNA", at positions 524 to 776 of the family's 1533-position model. The record is from RNAcentral.
GACAGAGGUGCCAAGCGUUAGGCGGAAUCACUGGGCUUAAAGCGUGUGUAGGCGGAUCGUUAAGUACCUUGUGAAAUCCCACGGCUCAACCGUGGAACUGCUGGGUAUACUGGCGGUCUUGAGCCACCUAGGGGCAACUGGAACAAGCGGUGGAGCGGUGAAAUGCGUAGAUAUCGCUUGGAACGCCAACGGUGAAACAGGUGUCUGGGGGUGUGCUGACGCUGAGACACGAAAGCCAGGGGAGCGAACGGG